Molecule: ribosomal RNA, 158 nt
Filed under: Agroathelia rolfsii
Lineage: Eukaryota; Fungi; Basidiomycota; Agaricomycetes; Amylocorticiales; Amylocorticiaceae
Description: Athelia rolfsii 5.8S ribosomal RNA
Rfam family: 5.8S ribosomal RNA
About the family: 5.8S ribosomal RNA (5.8S rRNA) is a component of the large subunit of the eukaryotic ribosome. It is transcribed by RNA polymerase I as part of the 45S precursor that also contains 18S and 28S rRNA.
Source: RNAcentral
ACUUUCACCAACGGAUCUCUUGGCUUCUGGCAUCGAUGAAGAACGCAGCGAAAUGCAAUAAGUAAUGUGAAUUGCAGAAUCCAGGGAAUCUUCGAAUCUUUGAACCCACCUUGCGCCCUUUGGUAUUCCGAGGGCCAUGCCUGUUUGAGAGCCAUUAA